CACUUAAUCUGCUUUACUUUAGGCCCUCAUCAUUUCGUAUCUGAUUUCUCGUAAUUGUCUUUUCAUUCAGGAAACUCCAAUUUCAUGAUGCCAGUAGAAAAAUGGGACCCAGUGCAAGACUGAUAUUUCCAGGUCCUCCAGCCACUAUAAAAUUUCUCAUUUUCUUGCAAGAAUGGCAGAAUCUCUUUCUCUUUUUGGAAGAACUCAUUGUCCCCAUGACCUGAACUGUUCCCCCAGCACCCCCUCUGCCGCCCUCAUGCCUCCUUUUACCUGCACACACCGUUUGGACCCGAAUUUGGUAAAGAGGAGGGACACUGGAUCCACUGAAGUGGUGAAGAGGUGAAAGAAGAGAUCAUGCGUUUCUUGGUUUCUGCCAUUUGUUUCUCGCCACACUAAGGUCUCUAAAUUCAGCCUGUGUGAAAGAAUCCGAAGGCUAAAUUUGACACCAUGGGAUACCCAAAUGGAGUUGGGGGAGGGGCUGAUGUGAAGAUUUGAGGAAAGAAUUUGGAUCCAGAACCAGCUCCAGCUCAGUUGCCAACUGAUCAAAUGUCCCUUUGGUUCCCUGCACUUAUCCAUGAAAUUUGUAUCUUGGAAAAACUGCAUUUGAAGUUGGCAGAACACAAGUUUUAUGUUUAUCAGAGUUGAGUUUUAAGUGUUUUGUGUUCUCUUUCUCCAAGUGCUCCAUGUGUUCUGAAUAACCCUACCUUUUUCCUAGUCCACGGUAGCGAAGAAAUACUGCUUGGGGUAUGGAAAGAUCAAAAAACAUUAGUAUCAGAACUUGUCUCACUUUUUUCCCCUUUGGCUAGGGGCAUUGCUAGGUUCCCCAUCCAUUCUUGACACAGACAAGCCAGUAACAUCCACAUUAAUCUAGAUUAUGUUGACUUCGUCCUAUUCUGACAACAUGUAAUAUUCUGUGUCUUGUUUAAUCACACAAUAGGACAACACUUCUCACUGAGUCAUUCACUCAUCAUAUUCUGACUGCAGAACAUUUGAUCAUACUUUUAAUGUUUAUACAGUGCUAUGAAUGUACAUGGCAGAGAAAUCAUACUAGGAGGAAAAAAAAAGGUGGUGCUCUCAGCAGACUAGUGUGACAGAAGGAACUCUUUCAGGCAAAGAGAAAAGUUUGAAGUAAACUCAGAAGAGUGAGCAGGCAUAUGUAAAAUUCAACCUUACUGCAAGGUGUAGUUAAGAUUCAUUUAAUAAUGCAAACAAUAUUUAUUAACUAUCUACCUUUGUUAAUACUACGCUAGGUGCUGGAGUAUAAACUCUUUCCCUUAAGGAGCUUAAGAAAAAUAUUGAACAAGUGUCUGUGAGUGUGAAGAGGGUCAUAAAAUACAUAAUAU
This 1343-nucleotide long non-coding RNA is filed under the name Sus scrofa (pig). Its description in RNAcentral is "lncRNA (ENSSSCG00025018889.1)". Lineage: Eukaryota; Metazoa; Chordata; Mammalia; Artiodactyla; Suidae. The record is from RNAcentral.